This 425-nucleotide ribosomal RNA is filed under the name uncultured bacterium. Its description in RNAcentral is "partial 16S ribosomal RNA". It matches the Rfam family "Bacterial small subunit ribosomal RNA", at positions 354 to 796 of the family's 1533-position model. The record is from RNAcentral.
GUGGGGAAUCUUGCGCAAUGGGCGAAAGCCUGACGCAGCCAUGCCGCGUGAAUGAUGAAGGUCUUAGGAUUGUAAAAUUCUUUCACCGGGGAAGAUAAUGACGGUACCCGGAGAAGAAGCCCCGGCUAACUUCGUGCCAGCAGCCGCGGUAAUACGAAGGGGGCUAGCGUUGCUCGGAAUUACUGGGCGUAAAGGGCGCGUAGGCGGACAUUUAAGUCAGAGGUGAAAGCCCAGGGCUCAACCUUGGAAUUGCCUUUGAUACUGGAUGUCUUGAGUUCGGGGGAGGUGAGUGGAAUGCCGAGUGUAGAGGUGAAAUUCGUAGAUAUUCGGCGGAACACCAGUGGCGAAGGCGACUCACUGGCCCGAUACUGACGCUGAGGCGCGAAAGCGUGGGGAGCAAACAGGAUUAGAAACCCGAGUAGUCC